Molecule: long non-coding RNA, 224 nt
Filed under: Homo sapiens (human)
Lineage: Eukaryota; Metazoa; Chordata; Mammalia; Primates; Hominidae
Description: HSALNT0084959
Source: RNAcentral
AUCACACGGAUUGCUUCUUCCUCCAGCUCUAGAACUGAGAUGGCUCCUCGCCUCCCGAAAAACAAUGCGGCUGACUCUAACGAAAUUCACUAUCACCCACAGGCAGUAGCCAGACACACCUACUUUAUUUUCAAAAUUAAAUUGUUUGAUGACAGACAGAUAAGGAACAGAUGGCAGGGAAGGUGGAGAUAAUAAUAGGUUCAGAAAAUCUCCGUAAGGAAUGA